GCUCAGGACGAACGCUGGCGGCAUGCUUCAUACAUGCAAGUCGAACGAUAAGGUCUCUUCGGAGAUACAUAAGUGGCGGACGGGUGAGUAAUAUGUAGGAAAUCUGCCCUAGAGAGGGGGACAACAGAAGGAAACUUCUGCUAAUACCCCAUAUGAGCGUACCUGAAAUGGUAUUCUUGAAAACUCCGGUGCUCUAGGAUGAGCCUGCAUCUGAUUAGCUAGUUGGUGGUGUAAUGGACUACCAAGGCGACGAUCAGUAGCUGGUUUGAGAGGAUGAUCAGCCACAAUGGGACUGAGACACGGCCCAUACUCCUACGGGAGGCAGCAGUAGGGAAUUUUGCGCAAUGGGCGAAAGCCUGACGCAGCAAUGCCGCGUGAAUGUUAAACCCUUCGGGGUGUAAAGUUCUGUCAGUGGGGACGAACAAAUGACGGUACCCACAGAGGAAGCACCGGCUAACUCCGUGCCAGCAGCCGCGGUAAUACGGAGGGUGCAAGCGUUGUCCGGAAUCAUUGGGCGUAAAGAGUUCGUAGGCGGUUUGUUAAGUUAGGUGUUAAAUACUGAGGCUCAACCUCAGCACGGCAUUUGAUACUGGCAGACUUGAAUGCGGUAGAGGUAAAGGGAAUUCCUGGUGUAGCGGUGAAAUGCGUAGAUAUCAGGAGGAACAUCGGUGGCGUAAGCGCUUUACUGGGCCGUAAUUGACGCUGAGGAACGAAAGCCAGGGUAGCGAAUGGGAUUAGAUACCCCAGUAGUCCUGGCCGUAAACGAUGGAUACUAGGUGUUGCGGGUAUCGACCCCUGCAGUGCCGUAGCUAACGCGAUAAGUAUCCCGCCUGGGGAGUACGCACGCAAGUGUGCAACUCAAAG
RNAcentral lists this ribosomal RNA (864 nucleotides) under uncultured Pseudomonadota bacterium. RNAcentral describes it as "bacterial SSU rRNA". It matches the Rfam family "Bacterial small subunit ribosomal RNA", at positions 22 to 906 of the family's 1533-position model. Lineage: Bacteria; Pseudomonadati; Pseudomonadota. The record is from RNAcentral.